GGCAGCCAUGUCCCAGCUACCACUCUGCACUAGGAAAGAGGAGCUCAAAUCUUUGGGGGUCAGCUAAGCUUUUUUCAUUAAUUCAAGGCAUGUGACCCACGACUGCAUUCUGCUGAUGGCGUAACUACGGGUUGGUCAAGUGAUGAUGUAAACCAGUGCUUUUUAACUGCUUGGGGAAUCAUGAAUCUGAUCAAAUUUAUGGAUCCUCUCCCUAGAAUAACACAGAAGCAUAAUAAGAACACAGUUUUCACUAAAUUUCAGGAACUUCAUGGGUUUUCUGAAGCCCAUCACUGAUAUUAUUUAUUCGAGGCUCACAGAUCUAUAGUCUGGGUACGGUUGACACUAUUUGCCUUGAGUUAUAUUUUGAAUAAUGUUCUAAAUCAUGAACCAUGGGAUUUUUUCCCCUCAGCUAGGUUUUUUUGGUUUUUGGUUUUAAAUUUAAAUGCUAGAACUAAGAGAUCUGGAAUAUCCGCAGUUAGCCAUCCAAAUUUUAGAUGUCACCUUUACACUGAGUGGAAAUUCUCAUCCCUCCUACCGCAAAAGACUUUAUGUUGGUAUCCUGCCAUCCAUUUGCCACUCUCUAAUCCAUUUCACAUGGCAACCAGAGUGACAUCUAAAAAUUCUAAUUUUUUCCUGCCACUCCCUCCUGAAGAUCUUUCAGUAGAUAAAGAUCUAAACUCUUAACAUGGCAUACAAGGUCCUGAGUUAACUGACCCUAGCUGAUGCGCAUACUGUGUGAUGCUUUGCUUCUCAUACUUCCCAACUAGCCUUUCUCUUCCUCCCACCUCAGGACCUUUGCACAUGCCUUUACAGCUUCUUUCAUUUGUUUUGCCUUCAUUCUCUGUAUAGGUAACUGCCACUCUUCCUAUGGAUCUCGCCUCAACUGGCACUGCCUCAGAGAGGCCUUCACAAACAUAAAGUAAGUUCCCCUAAAUGUGGUUAGAGUACCCUGCAGGUUUUUCUCUUGGGGAUUACCAUGGUUUAUAACUAUAUGCGAUUAUUUGGUUUGUUUGGGUGACUCCCACGAAAAGGUAAGAUCCAUGAGGGCAAGAACUGUAAGCACCUAGUGCCACAACUCGGGACCUGGUUUAGGGCACGGACUCUAAUGAGCAUUCAAUGUGAUGAAUGAAUGAAUGAACACAUGAACGAAUGAAUGUUACCUAUGGUUUACUCUGUAUCUUGAGAAAGAAAAAGUUAAGUGAUAAAGGGUCUUGAAACCAAAUUAUUUUCUCAUUCUGAGAGGUUAACAGAAUAACCACGUCAGUGUAUGGUAUGAUUUCAAGGACCUUCGCAGGUAGGCAGUGACUCUACUGUGCCAUCUUGCAGCCUCUUCUCUUAGAUAAUGUCUCAUCCAAUAAGAGAAAUGAGCAAUGAAACAUGGCCUAUCAUUAUUUCACACCACCCCAAUGAGAAGCGCUCAAUGAUGCAGUACAGGCCACAGAGGGGGACUAUCAUACGAGGAACUGGUAAGUAGGAGACUAUUAAACGAAUCCAGAAAGGCUCCUGGGGAAGAUGGCCCUUUGAGUAUUGUUUGAAGGCCUCUUGAUGACACUCCUUUAUUGAAAUAUAUUUGGUAGCAUGAGAGCCAUCAAAAUAUUUUCCCCACAAAUCCUGCACCCCAGCUUUUCUAUGUUGCUGUCACAAGAAUAGAACAAUGAACAGAGAAGAGAGCUGUCACAGAAUAGAGUUAUGAGAAAGGCUGGCAAGGCAAGGAUUAGGCAGGUACUUCAAUAAAUAUACAUAGUUUAUUGAAGUAUAGUUUAUUUACAUUGUGUUAGUUUCCGGUGUACAACGAAGUGAUUCAGUCGUGUGUGUGUGUGUGUGUGUGUGUCUGUGUGUGUGUGUGUGUGUACACCUGUCUGUAUAUGUAUAUAUACAUUCAUUUUCAGAUUCUUUUUUUUUUUUUUUGCAUUUUAGGGCCACACCUGUGGCAUAUGGAGUUUCCCAGGCUACAGGUCUAAUCAGAGCAACAGCUUCUGGCCUACACCACAGCCACAACAAUGCAGGAUCCGAGCCGCGUCUGUGACCUACACCACAGCUCAUGGCAAUGCCAGACCUUAACCCACUGAGCAAGGCCAGGGAUUGAACUUCAUGGUUCCUAGUCAGAUUCACUUCCACUGCACCACAGCGGGAACUCCCAGAUUCUUUUAUAGUUUAUUACAAGACAUUGAAUAUAGUUCUGUAUGCUAUAUAGUAGGACCUUCCCCCGGCUUCUCUUUCCCUUCUGGUAACCGUAAGUUUGUUUUCUAUGUCUUGAAUCUAUUUCUAUUUUGUAAAUAAGUUCAUUUGUAUCCUUUUUUUAGAUCACACACAUACGUGAUAUUAUAUAUUUGUCUCUCAUUGUCUGACAUACUGCACUUAGUAUGAUAAAUGGUCCAUCCAUGUUGCUGCAAAUGGCAUUAUUUCAUUUUUUAUGACUAAGUAAUAUUCCAUUGUAUAUAUGUACCACAUUUUCUUUAUCCAUUCCUCUGUCAAUGGACAUUUCAGUUGCUUCCACGUCUUAGCGAUUGUGAAUAGUGUUGCAGUGAACACUGGGGUGCACGUGUCUUUUCUAUUUAGAGUUUUCUCUGGAUAUAUGCCCAGGAGUAGGAUUGCUGGAUCAUAUGGAGAACAAGACUAAACAAUUGUGUCUCAUAUUCUCUCCAGUAUAUUUUAUUAUUUUGCAAAAUAUUCUGUGUGUCUCCAUGUGGGAGGGUUUUACAUUCGUUUAAGCCUUGGCCAUGUGAUUUCCUUUGGCAAAGGACGCAGCAGUGGAAGAGACACGUGUAGAAGCUUUGAGAGCUCUCUCUCCUUUCCCUCUAACACCAGGCCCAUCAUGGCCCAAAUGGGGCUCUAGCAAUGUGGAUUUCAAGGUGAAGAGGAUGAGGGACAGAGCCAGGAAUGACCUACAGUUAACACAUAGUGUGAGCAAAAUAUUAGCUUCUAUUCCUUUAAGGCACUAAAAUUUGAGGGUUGUUUGCUACUGCAGCACUACCUAGCAGAAGAUGACUAAUAAACUCUCCUCACAAAAACUGUCUAUAAUUCAACUCAAAGUCAGAGCUCUACACCUCAUGAAAGAAUGAUCUAUUCCCAUCUGGGUGGGUCAUCUAUCAUUUUCAUCUAAAUGCACAGCUUUAGGAAGUUACAGGUGCAGUCAUGUGGGAGAAAGUGGAAUUCUCAACCACCGGAACCCAUGGACUUUGACUUGAAAGAUGCACAAGCCAGCUUGCCUUAGAGCUCUCUACUGGAAGCCCAGGAGGACCCCGGCUUAGACACAGAGGAAAACUAACGAAAGAUUUAUGACGACUAGAUGAGGAUUCCUUUCCUGGGAAGAAAAUCAAUGAAAAAUAAAAAAAGAGCUUUAUCUGCUGAUUUAUACUAAAAAGAGUAGUCAGAACUCUCCAUGAUAUCUUUUUAAUAAUAACAUCUCACAGAAAAAUAGAAAGAAACUUACUCAACACAAAAGUCAUUUAUAAAAAUUGGAGGAAUGCCGCUGUGACUCAGCAGUAACAAACCAGACUAGUAUCCAUGAGGACUCAGGUUCGAUCCCUGGCUUCUCUCAGUGGACUAAGGAUCUGGUGUUGCUGCCAGCUGUGGUGUAGGUCACAGGCGAGGCUCAGAUCCAACCCCUAGCCUGGGAGCUUUCAUAUGCUGCAGGUGUGGCCCUAAAAA
This 3651-nucleotide long non-coding RNA is filed under the name Sus scrofa (pig). RNAcentral describes it as "lncRNA (ENSSSCG00000063493.1)". The record is from RNAcentral. Lineage: Eukaryota; Metazoa; Chordata; Mammalia; Artiodactyla; Suidae.